Molecule: signal recognition particle RNA, 268 nt
Filed under: Bacillus cereus
Lineage: Bacteria; Bacillati; Bacillota; Bacilli; Caryophanales; Bacillaceae
Description: signal recognition particle sRNA large type
Rfam family: Bacterial large signal recognition particle RNA
About the family: The signal recognition particle (SRP) is a universally conserved ribonucleoprotein involved in the co-translational targeting of proteins to membranes. Archaeal SRP consists of a 7S RNA and homologues of the eukaryotic SRP19 and SRP54 proteins. In most bacteria, the SRP consists of a 4.5S RNA and the Ffh protein (a homologue of the eukaryotic SRP54 protein).
Source: RNAcentral
CCACAAUAAGCGGGGAGCUAGCGGUGCCCUGUUUCCUGCAAUCCGCUACAGCAGGGCUGAAUUCCUAACGUGAGGUAUUAUGAUGUGGGGACUGAAUAAUGGAAUUAAUGUUGAAAAAUGAGUCUUUCUCAACGAAGAUUCUGCGAACCUGGUCAGGUCCGGAAGGAAGCAGCCAUAAGCAGUAACCCCUUUGUGUGAGCGAGGUAGCUUAUUUAGAGUUAAUGAAGUUAUGACCGCCUGUUUCAUGCUAUCGAUGGAAGGUUUGUGG